AUGAAAGGAAAAAAAACAUUUCUUAUCCCUGACAGUUCUCCAAGAAGGCCUCCUUCAGGCACUGUCAUUCCGUCCACACUCCUCCGGCAGGAGCUAUCUCCCUGGCUUCCCUGUUUGGAUUCUUCAGGAUCUCGGCUUGAGCUCCGGCUGCCCUCCCUGGAUCAGAGACAAGCCCAGGAUGAAGACUGGGCAGUAGCCUGGAAGGAACCGGGCUUCGGUAACCACAGGGGCCUCAGGCGGCCCGGGAAGCGCGGAGAUCCCAGCGUGCGGGCAGGAAGCCCAAGCGCUGUGGCCGCUCCAUGGAGCCCUGGCGCAGGCAAGGACACAGCGUGGCUGGCUGCGUAUGUGAACAAGGUGCCUGGAGGGGCCGCGGUCGUCGCGGAGCCUGAGCACACCAAGGAGCGCAUCAGACUUCAAGGGUCGAAGUGCAAGGGGGCAGCUUUUGAUUUCAGGGUCAACCAACUAGGACUCGAUGGGUGGAAAAGAAGUGCCUAAACAGCAAGCUGCUUACUGCAAUCUCGGUCAGAAUUUGUGGGGGCCCCACAGAUGUGGGUGCCUGGCGGGGUCCUGGCGCAGACAGCGGUCUCGGGUUUGUGUGCUGCACACAGUAUCCUCAUCACCACACAAUGGAAGCUGCGGAGCUGGGGUCAAAAUGAGAAGGGGCAGCUGGGACCUGGCGACACGAAGAGAAUGGAAGCCCCCAGAAUCAUUGCGGGUCUCUGCCUGGAAGUGAGUGUGUAGGCAGCGUGUGGGCGGAACCUCACCUGGGCCUUGACGGAAACGGGCUCUGUGUUUGCGUUUGGGGAGAACAAGAUGGGGCAGCUCAGUCUCAGCAACCACGCAGGAGCAUCCCCAGCACCGCACAGAUCAUGUGCGGGCAGCCAAUUACCAGAAUGGCCAGUGGAAAUGAAUUUUGUAUAACGGGCGGCAAAGGAGACCUCUGUUCCUUCGUGUGCCCUCGAUGUGGUCAGCUGGGACCCAGGCACAGUGAAUAGUGUAAGGCUGCGAGCUGGUGCCGGUGCCACGAUGAGUGGCCCACCUUCACUGAGAAUGAAAGAUGGGCAGAUUCUGCCUGUACCAAAGGUGGUUGUGAGACCCCCAGAGCAGGACGUGGCCUGUGAUGCUAACCACACAUUAAUUUUGGACUCCAAGAAAUAAGUCUUCUCCUGGGGCUUUGGUGGCUAUGGUUGGCUGGGCCACUCGGAGCAGAAGGAUGAGAUGGUCCCUGCUUGGUGAAGUUGGAGUCUGACUUCCUUGGGUGUGGGGCAUCCCAGAUCCAUGUUGGUUACACCUGCUCCUUUGCUGUCUGUGAAGUUGGUAGUCUCUUUUUCUGGGGAGCCCAAUAUCUCCCAUGAAUCUUCCACGUACCUGAAAGCAGUGCAGGACCUCUGCAGCUGCAGAAUCCGGAGCCUGGCUUGUGGGAAGAGGAGCAUCAUUGUGGCCGCCAAUGAGAGCACCAUCAGCUGGGGGCCAUAACCAACCUUUAGGUAAUUGGGAUUCAGGGACCAUGAGCCCAAGUCUUCCACUGCAGCCCAAGAGGUGAAGACUCUGGAUGGCAUCUUUUCAAAGCAGGUCUCCAUAGGCUACUCACACUCCUUGAUGAUAGCACGAGAUGAAAGUGAGACCAGGAAAGAGAAGAUCAAGAAACUGCUAGAGCCGGUUGAGGUGGCUGCUUUCUGCCAGCAAGGGCAGAAGUUCAGUGUGACAGCCUUUUGCAUCCUCACCUGUGGUACUGAAGCCCUUGUUCAGUGUCCAGGAAAAAUCAAGUCGCAAGAACAAAUUGAAGGGCGAAACUUCCAGAAUAACCUGUUAGUCAAGCAAAGACAAGUGUAUUUGACUUACGGCGGCAACGGAGAGCAGCAUCUUAGCAAAGCCUCCACGGUGUCUUGGCAGAGGAAAGUUUUGGGGUCUGGUGAUGAAGGGCAGGUCCUUCAAGGCAGGGACUGGUCACAGUGCCAGCAGCUGCCUAGAUACUUCUGUUCAGCCAAUUCUAUCACAACCUUUACAAGAGAAUUUAAAGUCUUUAAAGUCUGUUGUGUAACUAUAGCCUUUACAGUAGAAUCUGUUGUAGAGCCUACCAUGAGGGAUAAAUUUCUAAUCAUUGCUUUUACUCCAAACCAUGGAAAAAGGACCUAA
Pongo pygmaeus (Bornean orangutan) is the source of this 2136-nucleotide RNA transcript. It is a transcript of the gene named protein RCC2-like, with no coding region annotated. NCBI's taxonomy places the organism in Eukaryota, Metazoa, Chordata, Mammalia, Primates, Hominidae. The record is from RefSeq and is a predicted model, not a curated record. The transcript is spliced from 7 exons.